UACGUAGGGUCCGAGCGUUGUCCGGAGUUACUGGGCGUAAAGCGCGCGCAGGCGGCUUCAUAAGUCUGGCGUGAAAGCCCCCGGCUCAACCGGGGAGGGUCGUCGGAGACUGUGGAGCUUGAGGGCGGUAGGGGCUGGUGGAAUUCCCGGUGUAGUGGUGAAAUGCGUAGAGAUCGGGAGGAACACCUGUGGCGAAGGCGGCCAGCUGGGCCGACCCUGACGCUGAGGCGCGAAGGCGUGGGGAGCGAACGGG
Molecule: ribosomal RNA, 253 nt
Filed under: uncultured bacterium
Lineage: Bacteria
Description: partial 16S ribosomal RNA
Rfam family: Bacterial small subunit ribosomal RNA
Source: RNAcentral